Molecule: ribosomal RNA, 144 nt
Filed under: uncultured Anaerolineaceae bacterium
Lineage: Bacteria; Bacillati; Chloroflexota; Anaerolineae; Anaerolineales; Anaerolineaceae
Description: partial 16S ribosomal RNA
Rfam family: Bacterial small subunit ribosomal RNA
Source: RNAcentral
AAUAGGUUGCGAAGCCGCGAGGCGGAGCCAAUCCAGACAAAACUUCCCUCAGUUCAGAUUGCAGGCUGCAACCCGCCUGCAUGAAGUUGGAGUUGCUAGUAAACGCAGGUCAGCCAUACUGCGUUGAAUACGUUCCCGGGGCUU